ACCCUGACCAGCGACGCCGCGUGACCGAGGAAGGCCUUCGGGUCGUAAAGGUCUUUCAGCGGGGACUAUAGUGAAGGUACCCGCAGCAAGCAGGAGCGGCUAACUACGUGCCAGCAGCCGCGGUAAUACGUAGGCUCCAAGCGUUGUUCGGAAUCACUGGGCGUAAAGCGAGCGCAGGCGGCGCGCCGUGUCGGUCCGUGAAAUCUCCCGGCUCAACCGGGAGGGUGCGGUUGAAACUGGCGUGCUAGAGUGCGGCAGGGGAAGGCAGAAUUCCUGGUGUAGCGGUGGAAUGCGUAGAGAUCAGGAGGAAUACCGGAGGUAAAGACGGCCUUCCGGGCCGCCACUGACGCUGAGGCUCGAAAGCGUGGGGAGCNAACAGGAUUAGAUACCCUGGUAGUCCACGCCCUAAACGAUGCAUACUUGGUGUGGGCCCUUCAGGGGUCCGUGCCGGAGCAAACGCGUUAAGUAUGCCGCCGGGGAGACGGG
RNAcentral lists this ribosomal RNA (486 nucleotides) under uncultured symbiont bacterium of Aplysina cavernicola. Its description in RNAcentral is "bacterial SSU rRNA". It matches the Rfam family "Bacterial small subunit ribosomal RNA", at positions 380 to 873 of the family's 1533-position model. The record is from RNAcentral.